Molecule: long non-coding RNA, 452 nt
Filed under: Orbicella faveolata
Lineage: Eukaryota; Metazoa; Cnidaria; Anthozoa; Scleractinia; Merulinidae
Description: uncharacterized LOC110055800, transcript variant X1
Source: RNAcentral
GCAGGACAGAGCGGGAUCUAUCUUCAAAAUGGUCGCUGCCUUCGAAGACUUUUCCCUCAAGUACGGCCAUUACCACCUCAAUGAAUCAAUGCCUCAAUUAACCAUUGUGCAGAGCAAGCUCAUUCUGCAUAUUCAGCGAUUUUUCCACCGAGAUGCUAGAGAUUUCAUUCUCAACGGAACGGAAAAACAUAACUUCGUCAACAUCUCGUCUAGGAAUUUCCUCAACAACGAUUCGUUGCUGGUUGGUGUCCUGUAAAAGGAUCUUCAUGAGCUACUUCAAUCGAUUCCAUCCAAUAAUGAUGCUCCUGAAAACAAGAGACUUGACACCAUGAUAAUGGCAGCCACGAUGGAUCCAAAACCGGAAAAGCUGCAGCAGAAUAUCACCCUAAAGUUCAGGAAUCUAAAGGUUGCUGAAGGCAAGAGAUAUUGCAUGUUUUGGAGUGACAACAGCG